AGCAGCCGCGGUAAUUCCAGCUCCAAUAGCGUAUAUUAAAGUUGUUGCAGUUAAAAAGCUCGUAGUUGAAUUUCGGGAUCAAUAUAUCGGUCGUGCCAUUGGUACGUACUGGUAUCAUUGGUUUCUCCUUUCUGACGAACCAUGAUGUCAUUAAUUUGGUGUUAUGGGAAGUUAGGACUGUUACUUUGAAAAAAUUAGAGUGUUUAAAGCAGGCUCGCGCUUGAAUACAUUAGCAUGGAAUAAUGAAAUAGGACGUUUGAUUCUAUUUUGUUGGUUUCUAGGAUCGACGUAAUGAUUAAUAGGGAUAGUUGGGGGCAUUAGUAUUCAAUUGUCAGAGGUGAAAUUCUUGGAUUUAUUGAAGACUAACUACUGCGAAAGCAUUUGCCAAGGAUGUUUUCAUUAAUCAAGAACGAAAGUUAGGGGAUCGAAGACGAUCAGAUACCGUCGUAGUCUUAACCAUAAACUAUACCGACUAGGGAUCGGAUGAUGUUAAUUUUUAAUUAGACUUAUUCGGCGCCUU
RNAcentral lists this ribosomal RNA (520 nucleotides) under uncultured Glomus. RNAcentral describes it as "SSU rRNA". It matches the Rfam family "Eukaryotic small subunit ribosomal RNA", at positions 569 to 1089 of the family's 1831-position model. Lineage: Eukaryota; Fungi; Glomeromycota; Glomeromycetes; Glomerales; Glomeraceae. The record is from RNAcentral.